Nomascus leucogenys (northern white-cheeked gibbon) is the source of this 108-nucleotide unclassified non-coding RNA. It matches the Rfam family "Y RNA". From Rfam's summary of the family: Y RNAs are components of the Ro ribonucleoprotein particle (Ro RNP), in association with Ro60 and La proteins. NCBI's taxonomy places the organism in Eukaryota, Metazoa, Chordata, Mammalia, Primates, Hylobatidae. The record is from Ensembl.
GGCUGGUCUCAAUGUAGUGAGGUAUUUCAGUUGAUUGUUCACAGUCAGUUACAGAUAGAAUUCCUUCUACCUCCCCCCAACCACCUCACUACAGUUGACUAGUCUUUU